AACGAACGCUGGCGGCAUGCCUAACGCAUGCAAGUCGAACGAGACCUUCGGGUCUAGUGGCGCACGGGUGCGUAACGCGUGGGAAUCUGCCCUUGGGUUCGGAAUAACAGUUGGAAACGACUGCUAAUACCGGAUGAUGACGUAAGUCCAAAGAUUUAUCGCCCAAGGAUGAGCCCGCGUAGGAUUAGCUAGUUGGUGAGGUAAAGGCUCACCAAGGCGACGAUCCUUAGCUGGUCUGAGAGGAUGAUCAGCCACACUGGGACUGAGACACGGCCCAGACUCCUACGGGAGGCAGCAGUGGGGAAUAUUGGACAAUGGGCGAAAGCCUGAUCCAGCAAUGCCGCGUGAGUGAUGAAGGCCUUAGGGUUGUAAAGCUCUUUUACCCGGGAUGAUAAUGACAGUACCGGGAGAAUAAGCUCCGGCUAACUCCGU
This 432-nucleotide ribosomal RNA is filed under the name uncultured bacterium. RNAcentral describes it as "partial 16S ribosomal RNA". It matches the Rfam family "Bacterial small subunit ribosomal RNA", at positions 29 to 506 of the family's 1533-position model. The record is from RNAcentral.